This 300-nucleotide signal recognition particle RNA is filed under the name Microcebus murinus (gray mouse lemur). RNAcentral describes it as "Metazoan signal recognition particle RNA (ENSMICG00000042927.1)". It matches the Rfam family "Metazoan signal recognition particle RNA". From Rfam's summary of the family: The signal recognition particle (SRP) is a universally conserved ribonucleoprotein. Lineage: Eukaryota; Metazoa; Chordata; Mammalia; Primates; Cheirogaleidae. The record is from Rfam by way of RNAcentral.
GCCGGACGCGGUGGCGCGCGCCUGUAGUCCCAGCUACUCGGGAGGCUGAGAUGGGAGGAUCGCUUGAGCCCAGGAGUUCUGGGCUGUAGUGCGCUAUGCCGAUCGGGUGUCCGCACUAAGUUCGGCAUCAAUAUGGUGACCUCCCGGGAGCGGGGGACCACCAGGUUGCCUAAGGAGGGGUGAACCGGCCCAGGUCGGAAACAGAGCAGGUCAAAACUCCCGUGCUGAUCAGUAGUGGGAUCGCGCCUGUCAAUAGCCACUGCACUCCAGCCUGGGCAACAUAGCAAGACCCCGUCUCUU